RNAcentral lists this ribosomal RNA (479 nucleotides) under uncultured bacterium. RNAcentral describes it as "partial 16S ribosomal RNA". It matches the Rfam family "Bacterial small subunit ribosomal RNA", at positions 28 to 507 of the family's 1533-position model. The record is from RNAcentral.
GACGAACGCUGGCGGCGUGCCUAACACAUGCAAGUGGAGCGACGAACCGGGGCUUGCCCCGGGGCAGAGCCGCGAACGGGUGAGUAACACGUGGGUGACCUGCCCCGAUGACUGGGACAACCCGUCGAAAGACGGGCUAAUACCGGAUGUGCCCCUUGGGGGAAAGGAUGCUUCGGCCUCCGCAUCGGGAUGGGCCCGCGGCGCAUUAGCUUGUUGGUGGGGUAAUGGCUUACCAAGGCGACGAUGCGUAGCUGGUCUGAGAGGACGAUCAGCCACACUGGGACUGAGACACGGCCCAGACUCCUACGGGAGGCAGCAGUGGGGAAUCUUGCACAAUGCGCGAAAGCGUGAUGCAGCAACGCCGCGUGCGGGAAGAAGGCCUUAGGGUUGUAAACCGCUUUCAGUUGGGACGAGGCUUCGAUCGGGAAUAGCGGUUUGGAGUGACGGUACCUUCAGAAGAAGCGCCGGCUAACUACGUG